ACACGCUGUUGAUCGAAAAUUUGUAUAAAUAUGUGAUUUGGAGGAAAUUUUACUUAGUUCAUCUUCUCAAUAGAACACAACGUUGAACAUUUGCAAAUCUUUCAAUUCGCUUAAUCCUAUAUUCUGUACAUAAACGGUGACAAGGAAAAUGUCAAGAAUGAGCUUGAAAAUCACGUUAUGGCUUUGCGUCACUUCAAUUUCAAUUGUUCACAUAGUUGCUUCAAAUCCAUCUUUAGUCUGCCCAGGGCAUAUGCCCAAUGGUGUUCAUACUGGAAGAUUUAUUGGAAUUAUCGACAAAGAUGACUGGGGUACGACGAAUUACAUAUUUAAACCUGAUAAUGGUGAUCCUGGAUGUGUCCAGUUUAAUUAUAAAGAAAAUGAAGUACGAAGCAAAAUUAUCGCGAACGCAUUUUUGUUAAGAGCUCACGUUACAAUAAGCGUUGGCGGUGUACAUUGGAUAACAGGGAUUGGAUACUAGUUUAAAGCAUGACUGAUGAUAAAUUUCCUAAAAAUCAUUUUAAAUUAUCUGAAUUAUGUACAUUUUAAAUCAUGUUGUCUACAAAGUUUAAUAAAAAAAUGUUUUGAUCAUAAAAUAA
Molecule: long non-coding RNA, 596 nt
Organism: Contarinia nasturtii (swede midge)
Lineage: Eukaryota; Metazoa; Arthropoda; Insecta; Diptera; Cecidomyiidae
Exons: 2
Source: RefSeq, a predicted model, not a curated record